This 465-nucleotide ribosomal RNA is filed under the name uncultured bacterium. Its description in RNAcentral is "partial 16S ribosomal RNA". It matches the Rfam family "Bacterial small subunit ribosomal RNA", at positions 338 to 795 of the family's 1533-position model. The record is from RNAcentral.
CCUACGGGGGGCAGCAGUGGGGAAUAUUGCGCAAUGGGCGAAAGCCUGACGCAGCGACGCCGCGUGAGGGAUGAAGGUCUUCGGAUCGUAAACCUCUGUCAGCAGGGAAGAACGGUCACUGUGCUAAUCAGCAGUGAAUUGAUGGUACCUGCAAAGGAAGCACCGGCUAACUCCGUGCCAGCAGCCGCGGUAAUACGGAGGGUGCGAGCGUUAAUCGGAAUUACUGGGCGUAAAGCGCUCGUAGGCGGUAUGUCAAGUCAAGGGUGAAAUCCCCGCGCUCAACGUGGGAACUGCCUUUGAAACUGGCAGACUGGAGUGUGUGAGAGGAUGGUGGAAUUCCAGGUGUAGGGGUGAAAUCCGUAGAUAUCUGGAGGAACAUCGGUGGCGAAGGCGACUAUCUGGCACAUAACUGACGCUGAGGAGCGAAAGCGUGGGUAGCAAACAGGAUUAGAUACCCGUGUAGUC